CCUACGGGAGGCAGCAGUGGGGAAUCUUGCGCAAUGGGCGAAAGCCUGACGCAGCCAUGCCGCGUGAAUGAUGAAGGUCUUAGGAUUGUAAAAUUCUUUCAGUAGGGACGAUAAUGACGGUACCUACAGAAGAAGCCCCGGCUAACUUCGUGCCAGCAGCCGCGGUAAUACGGAGGGGGCUAGCGUUGCUCGGAAUUACUGGGCGUAAAGGGAGCGUAGGCGGACAUUUAAGUCAGGGGUGAAAUCCCGGGGCUCAACCUCGGAAUUGCCUUUGAUACUGGGUGUCUUGAGUGUGAGAGAGGUAUGUGGAACUCCGAGUGUAGAGGUGAAAUUCGUAGAUAUUCGGAAGAACACCAGUGGCGAAGGCGACAUACUGGCUCAUUACUGACGCUGAGGCUCGAAAGCGUGGGGAGCAAACAGGAUUAGAUACCCUGGUAGUCCACGCGUAACGAUGAUGNUAGUUGUCGGGUAGUGCAUGCAUUUCGGUUGUACGCAGCUACGACAUUAAGUACAAUCCGCCGUCGGGGAGGUACGGUCGGCGAAGAAUUAAAACUUAACAAAUAGAAGUUAGACGGCGUGAGACGUGCCGACGGACGACCGACCGAGGGGAGGUUAGG
RNAcentral lists this ribosomal RNA (617 nucleotides) under uncultured bacterium. RNAcentral's name for it is "bacterial SSU rRNA". The stretch from base 1 to 520 matches the Rfam family "Bacterial small subunit ribosomal RNA", at positions 338 to 873 of the family's 1533-position model. The record is from RNAcentral.